CAAAACGCUGUGAUAAGAAAAGUAGAUCAUGUGCGAUGAGCAAAGCGAGCGUCGAUUGGUGAAAGGGCGUCAAAUCAAACAUCAUUGAAAAUCAUCUUUGAGCGAUGAAUGCGAAAUUUGAGCGUUCAUUGGGUGCUCCCAUUAUAGAGCUAGAGUAUUCGAAAGUAAGUCUUUCACGUACUUGAAAAGGUUGUUAUUGUGAAAUAACAACAAAUGAAGGUGGUAUCACGUUAACUAACGUCCUGAUU
This 248-nucleotide non-coding RNA is filed under the name Loigolactobacillus bifermentans. RNAcentral describes it as "Lactobacillus bifermentans T-box sequence". It matches the Rfam family "T-box leader". From Rfam's summary of the family: Uncharged tRNA acts as the effector for transcription antitermination of genes in the T-box leader family. T-boxes are found upstream of many aminoacyl-tRNA synthetase genes and some amino acid biosynthetic genes usually in Gram-positive bacteria. The anticodon of a specific tRNA base pairs to a specifier sequence within the T-box motif, and the NCCA acceptor tail of the tRNA base pairs to a conserved bulge in the T-box antiterminator hairpin. The record is from RNAcentral. Lineage: Bacteria; Bacillati; Bacillota; Bacilli; Lactobacillales; Lactobacillaceae.